UUUCACAGAGGACCAGGAAGCCUACUUAGGAUCUGUACUCCAUGAACUUCACCAUGGGUGAUUCUUGAGGACAAGCAACUUGGCAACACCAAGCGGCAAACUGCCAGACAGAUAAGUGUUUCUGAAGGUGAAGUGGAGUGAAGUUGGAUAUCCGGAUCUUACGUUUUGCUUCUCCUGGCAAUAUCCUUUGCAAGCUGUGCACCCCGUUUGCCCUUGAACAUUUUCUCUGCUUCCUGACGCUCCUACAGCGACACCACACACAGAGUUAAUGGAAAUAGGGGUACCACAUGCAUUUAGAUGCAUUCCUCAGGAAAAAAAAAAAAAAGAGGAAGAAAACUCUCUUGAAAUACUCUGGGUUGGUUAAGAAUGCCCAAAAGCCAAUUUCGAAUUUGUAGACAACACAAUGGUAUUUACUGCCUUCUCUGGUGAAGUAAAAUUCACUCUCCUCUUUAUAAAAAUAAAAUUUCCUGGGCUGGGGAAAUGA
Molecule: long non-coding RNA, 484 nt
Organism: Erinaceus europaeus (western European hedgehog)
Lineage: Eukaryota; Metazoa; Chordata; Mammalia; Eulipotyphla; Erinaceidae
Exons: 2
Source: RefSeq, a predicted model, not a curated record